CCUACGGGCGACUGCAGUGGGGAAUAUUGCACAAUGGGCGCAAGCCUGAUGCAGCCAUGCCGCGUGUGUGAAGAAGGCCUUCGGGUUGUAAAGCACUUUCAGCAGGGAGGAAGGCGGUGAGGUUAAUAACCUCAUCGAUUGACGUUACCCGCAGAAGAAGCACCGGCUAACUCCGUGCCAGCAGCCGCGGUAAUACGGAGGGUGCAAGCGUUAAUCGGAAUUACUGGGCGUAAAGCGCACGCAGGCGGUCUGUCAAGUCGGAUGUGAAAUCCCCGGGCUCAACCUGGGAACUGCAUUCGAAACUGGCAGGCUAGAGUCUUGUAGAGGGGGGUAGAAUUCCAGGUGUAGCGGUGAAAUGCGUAGAGAUCUGGAGGAAUACCGGUGGCGAAGGCGGCCCCCUGGACAAAGACUGACGCUCAGGUGCGAAAGCGUGGGGAGCAAACAGGAUUAGAUACCCCUGUAGUC
Molecule: ribosomal RNA, 465 nt
Filed under: uncultured Klebsiella sp.
Lineage: Bacteria; Pseudomonadati; Pseudomonadota; Gammaproteobacteria; Enterobacterales; Enterobacteriaceae
Description: bacterial SSU rRNA
Rfam family: Bacterial small subunit ribosomal RNA
Source: RNAcentral